UGCAUUUUCAGUAUGUCUGGAAAAUGGGCCAGAGAAGGGUCACACAUGUGAGAAUGCAGAAUGAGGAUGGGGAGGAGGCUGGCCAUGGGAGCAUCCAUAUUAGUCUUUUAUUUGGCAGGGACAGCUCAAAUGAAUAAACCUGAAGAUCUAAAUGACUUUAUUAAUGGAUUCCUGAAUCAGGCAGCAUCCCAUCUUGCAAGUAGAGGGGAGCUCCAAAGCGCUACAGAAAAGGAAAGGGUUUUAAAGGGAGUCCAUUUAACGAAACAUAUGAAGUAUGGAAAGAAUCAUCAGACUUCAGAGUGAUGUCAAGAAAUAGUGACCUAGUGCAUAACUCUCCGCCAGAUCAGGAACUGAGGCCUGUAGUAUGUACGUUACCCACCAAGUAUGUUAAAAUAUAGUGUAUUAAUAGAAGAUUUGAAGCUUAG
RNAcentral lists this long non-coding RNA (425 nucleotides) under Mustela putorius furo (domestic ferret). RNAcentral's name for it is "lncRNA (ENSMPUG00000025385.1)". Lineage: Eukaryota; Metazoa; Chordata; Mammalia; Carnivora; Mustelidae. The record is from RNAcentral.